RNAcentral lists this ribosomal RNA (333 nucleotides) under Triticum aestivum (bread wheat). RNAcentral describes it as "partial small subunit ribosomal RNA". The record is from RNAcentral. Lineage: Eukaryota; Viridiplantae; Streptophyta; Magnoliopsida; Poales; Poaceae.
AUGCAGGUCCACCGGUCACCUCUUGCGCACUGUUCUCAUGGAGAGACGCAGCCUUCUUCAGUAAACACAUUCUUCAACCGUGCGUCCUUGCCGUGGGUGAUAACCACCCCUCCGUCUGCAGGACUGUUAAGAAUGAAACUCGGUGCAGACGGUGUUCUUCUUGGUUAUAAGGUGUCCAUGUCGUGCAUGCAUUUAGUGUUAUUCAGAGCUGUGUUUUUUUGCUUUCGGGCUGCAUGCAAAGCAAUCUUGUUUUAUUUUCUUACCUUGUUAUAUGAAAUGGCAUGUUAUUCUGAAAACAUGGUGCUUGCUUUGAAUCUGAAUCAGGGACCCUGA